AACGUUUGUAAACUUUCACACUGGGUGGAGUUUAAAACUCAUAAUUCUGUAGGUGAACCUGCGGAGGGAUCAUUC
Molecule: ribosomal RNA, 75 nt
Filed under: Trichoderma harzianum
Lineage: Eukaryota; Fungi; Ascomycota; Sordariomycetes; Hypocreales; Hypocreaceae
Description: partial 18S ribosomal RNA
Source: RNAcentral